CUGCAGCUCCAAACUCCUCUUCCUCACUUCCGGUUUGAUCCAGUCGGCAGCAGCCCUCGCGCUCCUUCACCUGACGUCACGAGCCCAGCCUGCUAUUGCGGCUGCGCCCUGCGCUUUGUUUUGUUUCCGGUUUGACUGCGCUGACUCAGCGCAGCGCUGACGUCACUACCUGGGCAGAAACUUUUUCUUU
This is a long non-coding RNA of Poecilia latipinna (sailfin molly), 190 nucleotides long. RefSeq lists it as uncharacterized. NCBI's taxonomy places the organism in Eukaryota, Metazoa, Chordata, Actinopteri, Cyprinodontiformes, Poeciliidae. The record is from RefSeq and is a predicted model, not a curated record. The transcript has 2 exons.